Notechis scutatus (mainland tiger snake) is the source of this 85-nucleotide non-coding RNA. Lineage: Eukaryota; Metazoa; Chordata; Lepidosauria; Squamata; Elapidae. The record is from RefSeq and is a predicted model, not a curated record.
UUCUAAGGCAGUGUUUCACAAUCUUGGUAUCUUAAAUACAUGUGGAUUUCAACUCCCAGAAUUCCCCACCCAGUUUGAAGUCCAU